AAUCAACGCUGGCGGCGUGCCUAACACAUGCAAGUCGAACGCGAAAGGGGCUUCGGUCCUGAGUAGAGUGGCGAACGGGUGAGUAACACGUGGGUGAUCUACCUUCGAGUGGGGGAUAACGUCCCGAAAGGGACGCUAAUACCGCAUGACGUUCUGGGUUUAAAGACCUGGAAACCAAAGCCGGGGACCGCAAGGCCUGGCGCUUGAAGAGGAGCCCGCGUCCGAUUAGCUAGUUGGCGGGGUAAUGGCCCACCAAGGCGACGAUCGGUAGCCGGCCUGAGAGGGCGGACGGCCACACUGGAACUGAGACACGGUCCAGACUCCUACGGGAGGCAGCAGUGGGGAAUUGUUCACAAUGGGCGCAAGCCUGAUGACGCAACGCCGCGUGGGGGAUGAAGGUCUUCGGAUUGUAAACCCCUGUCGAACGGGACGAAAGACUCGGGAGCUAAUCAUCUCGAGAGUGACGGUACCGUUAAAGGAAGCCACGGCUAACUCUGUGC
Molecule: ribosomal RNA, 500 nt
Filed under: uncultured bacterium
Lineage: Bacteria
Description: bacterial SSU rRNA
Rfam family: Bacterial small subunit ribosomal RNA
Source: RNAcentral